GGGGAAUAUUGGACAAUGGGCGAAAGCCUGAUCCAGCCAUGCCGCGUGAGUGAUGAAGGCCCUCGGGUCGUAAAGCUCUGUGGAGAGGGAAGAAACCGUUCAGCAUCAGAUCCUGAACGUUGACGGUACCUCUUUAGCAAGCACCGGCUAACCCCGUGCCAGCAGCCGCGGUAAUACGGAGGGUGCAAACGUUGCUCGGAAUCAUUGGGCGUAAAGCGCACGUAGGCGGACCGCUAAGUCGGAUGUGAAAGCCCUCGGCUUAACCGAGGAAGUGCAUUCGAAACUGACGGUCUUGAGUAUGGAAGAGGGUCGCGGAAUUCCCGGUGUAGAGGUGAAAUUCGUAGAUAUCGGGAGGAACACCAGUGGCGAAGGCGGCGACCUGGGCCAAUACUGACGCUGAGGUGCGAAAGCGUGGGGAGCAAA
RNAcentral lists this ribosomal RNA (423 nucleotides) under uncultured bacterium. Its description in RNAcentral is "bacterial SSU rRNA". It matches the Rfam family "Bacterial small subunit ribosomal RNA", at positions 356 to 772 of the family's 1533-position model. The record is from RNAcentral.